This is a long non-coding RNA of Panthera uncia (snow leopard), 984 nucleotides long. RefSeq lists it as uncharacterized. NCBI's taxonomy places the organism in Eukaryota, Metazoa, Chordata, Mammalia, Carnivora, Felidae. The transcript has 4 exons. The record is from RefSeq and is a predicted model, not a curated record.
CUUCCGGCUGCGGUCGUCCAGGUAACCGAGACCGCCGAAAGCGCGGAACUGAAGGUCAAGGGAGACUACUGUAUAUUGUUCCGCCUUUGAAGAAGUUAUUUAACAUCAGCGAGUCUCUUGUUAACUAGCUUGUGCCCUUUUCCUUGUGGAUUUGAAGAAACGGUAUGUUCUUGACAUAAGCCCUCGGCCAAUUACAUGUAUUGCAAGUAUCUUUUCUGACUCUUUAAAAGCUUCCCUUUUGACUAACAUAAUGGAGUCUUUUUAUGAACAGAAGUUCUUAAUUUUUUUAAAAAAAGAUUGUAUGUUUUUAUUCCUUUUUGAGUAAACUCUACACCCAAGGUGGGGCUCGAACUAACGACUUGGCAAUCAAGAGUCACGUGUUCUACCCGCUGAGCCAGACAGGUGCCCCUAGAAGUUCUUAAUUUUAAUAAAUUCCAAUGGGAAUCCAGAAAUGGAAAAAAAAAAAAAAAGGAAAACAAAAAGGGACGGUCAACCUGCACCUGGCUGGGACACUAUGAAAACCCUGAAGAGCACUAAGAAGACAGUGUCGCUGCACUCCGAGGGAAAAUGGCAAACGCCUGCCAACACUGUUUCUACUGAAGCUUCGGACCCCGAUCUCAAAUAACCAACUACUGGGCGUGCGGUCACUGUGUUGCAGUCCACGGCCAUGCUCUGACCCUGUGGAGAUUGACAGAUAUGGAGAACACGCAGAUUCUGGAAGUGACCUUCUCUGAAAAUCCCGGUCGGAUUCAAGCAGUGUCUCUUGCACCUUCCCUGCUCUCCAGGGUUCCCAUCGAUCCCUACACUGUCCCAAGAAAAUGCCGAGAAUUGGAGAGAUGGGUCUCACUUCCAAAGGUUUAAAAUAAUUGCUACUUGCUAUGCUUACCUCAAAACUCAAACUGGCACCUUCUACUAAGGUAUCAAGUUACUUUUUUUUUUUUUUACCGUACUGUUAAGAAUUUCUACAUGAAUAUAUACUGCACC